Molecule: long non-coding RNA, 1996 nt
Filed under: Ananas comosus (pineapple)
Lineage: Eukaryota; Viridiplantae; Streptophyta; Magnoliopsida; Poales; Bromeliaceae
Description: long non-coding RNA (ACOM_LNC009305)
Source: RNAcentral
AAAAUAUUGUUGGAUAAAAAUAUCGAUUUAGGCUUAAGGCUUAAUUUGGUAUUGAGACUUAUCUAAAUUAAAUUGAGAUAAAAGGAUAUAGUGAUAUUCUUCUGUGUUUUUUUUUUGGACCGCAGAAAAUAUAUCGUAAUCGACUAAUCACUAUAUUUUACGAAAAUUAGCCGAGUUUUUUUUUAUCGCAUUUUUUCACCGCACGUAAUGUAAUCUCUCAAUAAUCCCAAACGUGAUGAUAGGAAUUUAUGAUAGGAAUUUUGAAUCGGUGAUUGAAAUCCUAAAGUUGAUCUAGAGUACUGAAAAUGUUUUAAAACUAAAUUUUAUAAAUUUAAAGAUUAUUAUAAAACGUUAUCUAAAAAAUAUAAAAAAAAAUUUAUAAAAAAUUUAGGCGGUUUGAAUUACUCUGCACUAUUAAACAAGCAAACGGUUUAUAUAGAUUAUCAAAAAUUGUUGAUUUUAUGAUCCUUUAAACACUGCGUAAAUAAUUAUUUAAAUUUAUAAAGUUUAAUUUUUAGACGCUUAAAAUUAUUUAGAUCAAAUUUUAAUAGUUUAGAUUAUCGAUUCGAAAUUUCUAUCAUCUAAAAUAACUUAAGAUGAUGAAGAACUUCGUCCUCUAAAAAGGAUAGUAGUUGUACUUUAAUUUAAUUUCAAAUUAAGGGCCUGUUUGGCUUAGCUUCUGAAAAAGUGAUUUCUAGAAAAGUGAUUUUGGUUCAAAUCUGUAGAGCGUUUUGUGUAGUUUAAAUAAAAGUGAUUUUUCUGAAUUGAUUUUGAAAAACUGUUUGGCAAAUAUUUUUUAAUAUUUGCAUAAAUUAAUAUUUUAUUAAAUUUUACUUUAAAAUAAUUUAAAAUUUAAAUUUAAAUUUGAAUUAAAAUUAAAUUUUUAAUUUUCAAAAUUAUACAAAAUUUAAAAUUUGAUAUUUUAAUUUUAAAAAUAAUUUAAAAUUUUAAAAAUUUAAAAUUAAAAUAAUUGUGAAAUUUAAAAAUUAAAAAUAUAAAUAUAAAUUUUAAAACAUAUAUAUUACGAUUUUUAAAAUAUAAAAUUUUAAUAUAUAAAAAUAGAAAUUAAAAUUAAAAUUUCAAACUUUAAAUUUAGAAUUUCAAAUUUNAGUAAGAGAAAGAAGGAGCGGUGCGGUUCAGAAAGAUAGCUCGGUUCAAAAGUAGUUCGGUUCAAUAGAGAGGCUGGUAAGGUUGAGUGGUUCAGUAUAGAGAAAAGUGGUUUAUUUUAAAGUGGAGUUAUGAGGAUGAAGGAUAAGAUGCCAUGUGGCAAAAAAUAUUGUGGCUUCAUAUAUGUUUAUAGAUGAAUUCGCUUCGAUUUUAUUUAGAGGUUUAGGGAUGUAAUGAGUGGUCCGGUUUAGAGAAUAAGCAAGUAAGAGAAAGAAGGAGCGGUGCGGUUCAGAAAGAUAGCUCGGUUCAAAAGUAGUUCGGUUCAAUAGAGAGGCUGGUAAGGUUGAGUGGUUCAGUAUAGAGAAAAGUGGUUUAUUUUAAAGUGGAGUUAUGAGGAUGAAGGAUAAGAUGCCAUGUGGCAAAAAAUAUUGUGGCUUCAUAUAUGUUUAUAGAUGAAUUCGCUUCGAUUUUAUUUAGAGGUUUAGGGAUGUAAUGAGUGGUCCGGUUUAGAGAAUAAGCAAGUAAGAGAAAGAAGGAGCGGUGCGGUUCAGAAAGAUAGCUCGGUUCAAAAGUAGUUCGGUUCAAUAGAGAGGCUGGUAAGGUUGAGUGGUUCAGUAUAGAGAAAAGUGGUUUAUUUUAAAGUGGAGUUAUGAGGAUGAAGGAUAAGAUGCCAUGUGGCAAAAAAUAUUGUGGCUUCAUAUAUGUUUAUAGAUUAUAGAUAGCAAAAGCUACUAUAUAAUAUAACAUAUAUUCGUAAUCAGAUCGGCUUCAGAUUCGAGUUGAAUAAAGAUAAAAUCCAUACCCAAUCUGAAUUUGCCGGAUUUCGUUGAUAUCCAAAAUCUUAUUUGCGUAGUAUUGAAUAAAACCGCUUAAUUCGGGUUCGAAUUUG